AGGUUGGUGCAAAAGUAAUUGUGGUUUUUGUUAUUGAAAGUAAUGGCAAAACUGCAAUUACUUUUGCACCAGCCUAUAUA
Molecule: microRNA precursor, 80 nt
Organism: Nomascus leucogenys (northern white-cheeked gibbon)
Lineage: Eukaryota; Metazoa; Chordata; Mammalia; Primates; Hylobatidae
Source: Ensembl